Phascolarctos cinereus (koala) is the source of this 1149-nucleotide non-coding RNA. NCBI's taxonomy places the organism in Eukaryota, Metazoa, Chordata, Mammalia, Diprotodontia, Phascolarctidae. The record is from RefSeq and is a predicted model, not a curated record.
CACAGUCACUUCAUAAAAUGGCGACAAUGAUCCAUAUUCUGCCUCUUCCACAGAGUGAAUGGAAGGAUGAGCUGUCUACAGGCUUUCAAAGUUAGAAGGGACCCCAGAUGCCAUCUCAGCAGAAGCUCUACAGUGAGUGCGCAGAAAGAUCCUUAUUCAAUUUUAACAAAUAUCUCAUUUGAUCUUCACAGCAAUCCUGAGAGUGGCCUAUUGGGAGAGUUUUAUCAUCGUGUAGGCUUGCUGAGGAUCAGAACAGCCAUUGGCCUGUGUCCAAAGACUAUAAUGAGCUGGUUGCUUGCUGGGACUGCAGACCCCCGGCAGGACUGGGCAUGCAUAGCCAAUCUGGGCAGGAGCUAAAGGAGGCCAGGAGACCCAGCGUGGUGAAAGGCAGCCCAAUAGAAGCUGGACCAGGAAGAGCAGAGGCCAGCCCACUCUCACAGGUGGUUAACCACAGGCUGGAGGUUCCCAGGAAACCUAAGGGCUCUCUACAAUGGGCCGCACCCCUUCCCACAGCUAAAGUUUCCAGUACAGAUAUUGAACCAGCCUGCGUGGAAUGCUAAGGAUUGGAGGAAAUGAGAUAAGGUCACUAACCGAACUCUGAGGACUCUGUGAGUAUGGCCAGGGUACCAUGAGAGGGAUGCAGAUGUCUGUUCUGGAAGAGGGAGGACAGGGAAUGGGGAGGGGCUCAAGCUCUGGUUUUUAGUCUCUUCUCAUGGAGGCCUGGCCCUCCACGAAACUUCCCACAGUCUCCUUGCCAAGAGUUCCCCCUGCUCUUCCCAGCUCCUCUCAAAGUGUGGUAGUGAAUUGUAAGCUCCCUGAAGGCAAGAACUGCUUGUACCCCCUGCAUUAAGCACAGCACUUGGCCCAGAGAGCAGUCGCUUCAUAGGUGAUCUUUAGCUUUAUGUGGCUAUUUGGGGAUGGGGUAGGGAGAGCACCUUAGCUGUGUUUAAGUAUCAAACUAUGGUUGGUCUUGUUCUGCAUAUGGUAGGAAGGAAGGUUGAGGCUCAAAGUCAAGAGCUGAGUAUGUCAGCUUAAGAAAUGGUGUCUGGUCACUUCCAGGAGAGAUUGGAUCAUCCCCAACCACCAUCAUAGAUGGGCAUGGGUAUAGAGCUGAAAGAAGAAAAGAAAAAAGAAGGAAGGAAGGAAGGA